This 315-nucleotide ribosomal RNA is filed under the name uncultured eukaryote. RNAcentral describes it as "partial 18S ribosomal RNA". It matches the Rfam family "Eukaryotic small subunit ribosomal RNA", at positions 1470 to 1796 of the family's 1831-position model. The record is from RNAcentral.
CCCUUAGAUGUCCGGGGCUGCACGCGCGCUACACUGAAUGAAUCAGCGUGCUAGAAAACCUUGUUUGACAUGGCUAGGUAACCCAUUGAAAAUCAUUCGUGAUUGGGAUCGGGACUUGCAAAUGUGUCCCUUGAACGAGGAAUUCCCAGUAAGUGCGGGUCAUCAGCUCGCGUUGAUUACGUCCCUGCCCUUUGUACACACCGCCCGUCGCACCUACCGAUUGAAUGGUCCGGUGAAGCCUCCGGAUUGCGCGGCUUCGGCUGUCGCGAGAAGUUGGCUAAACCUUACCAUUUAGAGGAAGGUGAAGUCGUAACA